This 627-nucleotide ribosomal RNA is filed under the name uncultured bacterium. RNAcentral's name for it is "bacterial SSU rRNA". The stretch from base 1 to 540 matches the Rfam family "Bacterial small subunit ribosomal RNA", at positions 338 to 873 of the family's 1533-position model. The record is from RNAcentral.
CCUACGGGAGGCAGCAGUGGGGAAUUUUGGACAAUGGGGGAAACCCUGAUCCAGCCAUCCCGCGUGUGCGAUGAAGGCCUUCGGGUUGUAAAGCACUUUUGGCAGGAAAGAAACGUCAUGGGCUAAUACCCCGUGAAACUGACGGUACCUGCAGAAUAAGCACCGGCUAACUACGUGCCAGCAGCCGCGGUAAUACGUAGGGUGCAAGCGUUAAUCGGAAUUACUGGGCGUAAAGCGUGCGCAGGCGGUUCGGAAAGAAAGAUGUGAAAUCCCAGAGCUUAACUUUGGAACUGCAUUUUUAACUACCGAGCUAGAGUGUGUCAGAGGGAGGUGGAAUUCCGCGUGUAGCAGUGAAAUGCGUAGAUAUGCGGAGGAACACCGAUGGCGAAGGCAGCCUCCUGGGAUAACACUGACGCUCAUGCACGAAAGCGUGGGGAGCAAACAGGAUUAGAUACCCUGGUAGUCCACGCCCUAAACGAUGUCAACUAGCUGUUGGGGCCUUCGGGUCCUUGGUAGCGCNGCUACGCGUGAGUGACCGCCGNGGGAGGUACGGUCGGUCGAGAGUUAAACGUACGAAAGAAGUUAGAGGCGUUGAGACGNGCCGACGGACGACGACGAGGGAGGAGG